Molecule: non-coding RNA, 74 nt
Organism: Glossina brevipalpis
Lineage: Eukaryota; Metazoa; Arthropoda; Insecta; Diptera; Glossinidae
Source: Rfam
GGAUCCGUGGCUUAAUUGGUUAAAGCGCCUGUCUAGUAAACAGGAGAUAGUGGGUUCGAAUCUCGCCGGGGCCU